Molecule: long non-coding RNA, 285 nt
Organism: Oncorhynchus masou masou (cherry salmon)
Lineage: Eukaryota; Metazoa; Chordata; Actinopteri; Salmoniformes; Salmonidae
Exons: 3
Source: RefSeq, a predicted model, not a curated record
GGGCGUGAGAUGUUUCCAAAUGCUGGAAGUGGGGCCUGAGUGAAAGAGUUUGGGAACCCCUGCUCUAAUGAGUGUUGUGCCUCUGUGUGUCUGCCGUGUGGAGAUGGGAAGGACCUCUUGGCUGUGUACAGAACUCUGGGGCCUUACAUCUGUAACAUCAGCCUGGCUGUGCUGACUGACACAUUGCAUGCUGGGCUUUCCUCCUGGAGGUUUCUGGGGAUACAAGGCCUGGGAGGAGAGAACCUAUCAUCCAUGGACGUUCAGUUCAGUGGGAGGGGCCAUGAA